This 76-nucleotide small RNA is filed under the name Xanthomonas alfalfae. RNAcentral describes it as "sX9 sRNA". It matches the Rfam family "Xanthomonas sRNA sX9". The record is from RNAcentral. Lineage: Bacteria; Pseudomonadati; Pseudomonadota; Gammaproteobacteria; Lysobacterales; Lysobacteraceae. RNAcentral also lists the same sequence under 3 other names.
AUAUACCACGCGUACGCUCCGGUUCCUGCCCGCCGUCCACACCCACCUGACGACUGCUCGCUACGUCUUGUCAGUC